Molecule: ribosomal RNA, 254 nt
Filed under: uncultured bacterium
Lineage: Bacteria
Description: partial 16S ribosomal RNA
Rfam family: Bacterial small subunit ribosomal RNA
Source: RNAcentral
UACGGGGGGAGCAAGCGUUGUUCGGAUUUACUGGGCGUAAAGGGCGCGUAGGCGGUCGUGACAAGUCACAUGAGAAAUCUCCGGGCUUAACUCGGAACGGUCAAGUGAUACUGUCGGACUAGAGUACAGAAGGGGCAACUGGAAUUCUCGGUGUAGCGGUGAAAUGCGUAGAUAUCGAGAGGAACACCUGCGGCGAAGGCGGGUUGCUGGGCUGAUACUGACGCUGAGGCGCGAAAGCCAGGGGAGCGAACGGG